RNAcentral lists this ribosomal RNA (490 nucleotides) under uncultured soil bacterium. Its description in RNAcentral is "bacterial SSU rRNA". It matches the Rfam family "Bacterial small subunit ribosomal RNA", at positions 26 to 518 of the family's 1533-position model. The record is from RNAcentral.
AGAUUGAACGCUGGCGGCAUGCCUUACACAUGCAAGUCGAACGGUAACGCGGGGCAACCUGGCGACGAGUGGCGAACGGGUGAGUAAUACAUCGGAACGUGCCCAGUAGUGGGGGAUAGCCCGGCGAAAGCCGGAUUAAUACCGCAUACGACCUACGGGUGAAAGCAGGGGAUCGCAAGACCUUGCGCUAUUUGAGCGGCCGAUGUCAGAUUAGGUAGUUGGUGGGGUAAAAGCCUACCAAGCCUACGAUCUGUAGCUGGUCUGAGAGGACGACCAGCCACACUGGGACUGAGACACGGCCCAGACUCCUACGGGAGGCAGCAGUGGGGAAUUUGGACAAUGGGCGCAAGCCUGAUCCAGCCAUGCCGCGUGCGGGAAGAAGGCCUUCGGGUUGUAACCGCUUUGUCUAGGAAGAAACGCUCUGGCUAAUACCCUGGGUAAUGACGGUACCUGAAGAAUAAGCACCGGCUAACUACGUGCCAGCAGCCGC